GAUGAACGCUAGCGGGAGGCUUAACACAUGCAAGUCGAGGGGCAGCAUAGGGUAGCAAUACUCUGAUGGCGACCGGCAAACGGGUGAGUAACGCGUAUGUAACCUACCCUGUACAGGGGGAUAACCCGGAGAAAUUCGGACUAAUAUCCCAUAACAAUAUCCGGGGGCAUCUUUGGAUAUUUAAAGUUCCGGCGGUACGGGAUGGGCAUGCGUAACAUUAGCUAGUUGGUAAGGUAACGGCUUACCAAGGCUUUGAUGUUUAGGGGUCCUGAGAGGGUGGUCCCCCACACUGGUACUGAGGCACGGACCAGACUCCUACGGGAGGCAGCAGUGAGGAAUAUUGGUCAAUGGGCGCAAGCCUGAACCAGCCAUCCCGCGUGCAGGAAGACGGCGCUAUGCGUUGUAAACUGCUUUUCCAGGGAGAGAAACUUGCGCACGUGUUGCGCAAUUGACGGUACCCUGGGAAUAAGCAUCGGCUAACUCCGUG
RNAcentral lists this ribosomal RNA (487 nucleotides) under uncultured bacterium. Its description in RNAcentral is "bacterial SSU rRNA". It matches the Rfam family "Bacterial small subunit ribosomal RNA", at positions 28 to 507 of the family's 1533-position model. The record is from RNAcentral.